ACAGCCUGCGCAACGUGGGCCUGUUCGCGCCUCGGAUGGUGGUACUCCCUGGCCUAGUGGCAGUCCAGCCACAGUUGUAGCAGGUGUCAUCUCAUGCAGCCUCAUGCUCGCUGGCGGCACCGCCCUGGGCGCCUCCUCGCGUCCUGACUUUGGCGCCUCCUCGUGCCUUGGGCACCUUGUGCUGCUUUCCACGAUUGUGACCGGCUGUCGAGGAAGAAGACUCCCCCUCUUUCCAAUCCUUCUGGCGGGCGAGCCACCUCUCCUCGGUGAGGUAGAGCUAACCACUGAAGAUGGUCUCCCCACCAAAAGAUGGCUCGUUGCGGUCGUCGAACGCCUUGAGUUGCCUCAUCAGCUCCUCGAUCAACA
Molecule: long non-coding RNA, 366 nt
Filed under: Setaria viridis
Lineage: Eukaryota; Viridiplantae; Streptophyta; Magnoliopsida; Poales; Poaceae
Description: long non-coding RNA (SVIR_LNC001634)
Source: RNAcentral